UGGGGAAUAUUGCACAAUGGGCGCAAGCCUGAUGCAGCCAUGCCGCGUGUGUGAAGAAGGCCUUCGGGUUGUAAAGCACUUUCAGCGAGGAGGAAGGUGGUGAGCUUAAUACGCUCAUCAAUUGACGUUACUCGCAGAAGAAGCACCGGCUAACUCCGUGCCAGCAGCCGCGGUAAUACGGAGGGUGCAAGCGUUAAUCGGAAUUACUGGGCGUAAAGCGCACGCAGGCGGUUUGUUAAGUCAGAUGUGAAAUCCCCGGGCUCAACCUGGGAACUGCAUUUGAAACUGGCAAGCUAGAGUCUCGUAGAGGGGGGCUAGAAUUCCAGGUGUAGCGGUGAAAUGCGUAGAGAUCUGGAGGAAUACCGGUGGCGAAGGCGGCCCCCCUGGACGAAGACUGACGCUCAGGUGCGAAAGGCGUGGGGCAGCAAACAGGAUUAGAUACCCUGGUAGUCCACGCUGUAAACGAUGUCGAUUUUGGAGGUUGUGCCCUUGAGGCGUGGCUUCCGGAGCUAACGCGUUAAAGUCGACCGCCUGGGGGAGU
RNAcentral lists this ribosomal RNA (541 nucleotides) under uncultured bacterium. Its description in RNAcentral is "partial 16S ribosomal RNA". It matches the Rfam family "Bacterial small subunit ribosomal RNA", at positions 355 to 881 of the family's 1533-position model. The record is from RNAcentral.